RNAcentral lists this ribosomal RNA (750 nucleotides) under uncultured bacterium. RNAcentral describes it as "bacterial SSU rRNA". It matches the Rfam family "Bacterial small subunit ribosomal RNA", at positions 34 to 796 of the family's 1533-position model. The record is from RNAcentral.
CGCUGGCGGCGUGCCUAAUACAUGCAAGUCGAGCGAACCACUUCGGUGGUGAGCGGCGAACGGGUGAGUAACACGUAGGUGAUCUGCCCAUCAGACGGGGACAACGAUUGGAAACGAUCGCUAAUACCGGAUAGGACGAAAGUUUAAAGGUGCUUCUGGCACCGCUGAUGGAUGAGCCUGCGGCGCAUUAGCUAGUUGGUAGGGUAAAGGCCUACCAAGGCGACGAUGCGUAGCCGACCUGAGAGGGUGAACGGCCACACUGGGACUGAGACACGGCCCAGACUCCUACGGGAGGCAGCAGUAGGGAAUCUUCGGCAAUGGGCGAAAGCCUGACCGAGCAACGCCGCGUGAAUGAUGAAGGCCUUCGGGUUGUAAAAUUCUGUUAUAAGGGAAGAACGACUUUAGUAGGAAAUGGCUAGAGUGUGACGGUACCUUAUGAGAAAGCCACGGCUAACUACGUGCCAGCAGCCGCGGUAAUACGUAGGUGGCGAGCGUUAUCCGGAAUUAUUGGGCGUAAAGAGCGCGCAGGUGGUUGAUUAAGUCUGAUGUGAAAGCCCACGGCUUAACCGUGGAGGGUCAUUGGAAACUGGUCGACCUGAGUGCAGAAGAGGGAAGUGGAAUUCCAUGUGUAGCGGUGAAAUGCGUAGAGAUAUGGAGGAACACCAGUGGCGAAGGCGGCUUCCUGGUCUGUAACUGACACUGAGGCGCGAAAGCGUGGGGAGCAAACAGGAUUAGAUACCCUGGUAGUCC